GACGAACGCUGGCGGCGUGCUUAACACAUGCAAGUCGAACGGAAAGGCCCUGCUUUUGUGGGGUGCUCGAGUGGCGAACGGGUGAGUAACACGUGAGUAACCUGCCCUUGACUUUGGGAUAACUUCAGGAAACUGGGGCUAAUACCGGAUAGGAGCUCCUGCUGCAUGGUGGGGGUUGGAAAGUUUCGGCGGUUGGGGAUGGACUCGCAGCUUAUCAGCUUGUUGGUGGGGUAGUGGCUUACCAAGGCUUUGACGGGUAGCCGGCCUGAGAGGGUGACCGGCCACAUUGGGACUGAGAACCGGCCCAGACUCCUACGGGAGGCAGCAGUGGGGAAUAUUGCACAAUGGGCGGAAGCCUGAUGCAGCAACGCCGCGUGCGGGAUGACGGCCUUCGGGUUGUAAACCGCUUUCGCCUGUGACGAAGCGUGAGUGACGGUAAUGGGUAAAGAAGCACCGGCUAACUACGUG
Molecule: ribosomal RNA, 468 nt
Filed under: uncultured bacterium
Lineage: Bacteria
Description: partial 16S ribosomal RNA
Rfam family: Bacterial small subunit ribosomal RNA
Source: RNAcentral